Molecule: ribosomal RNA, 446 nt
Filed under: uncultured bacterium
Lineage: Bacteria
Description: bacterial SSU rRNA
Rfam family: Bacterial small subunit ribosomal RNA
Source: RNAcentral
UCCAGACUCCUACGGGAGGCAGCAGUAGGGAAUUUUGCGCAAUGGGGGAAACCCUGACGCAGCAACGCCGCGUGAUUGAUGAAGCCCUUCGGGGUGUAAAGAUCUGUCAGUGGGGACGAAACUUGACGGUACCCACAGAGGAAGCAUCGGCUAACUCCGUGCCAGCAGCCGCGGUAAUACGGGGGAUGCAAGCGUUAUCCGGAUUUAUUGGGUUUAAAGGGUGCGUAGGCGGUCCGUUAAGUCAGCGGUAAAAUUGCGGGGCUCAACCCCGUCGAGCCGUUGAAACUGGCAGACUUGAGUUGGCGAGAAGUACGCGGAAUGCGCGGUGUAGCGGUGAAAUGCAUAGAUAUCGCGCAGAACUCCGAUUGCGAAGGCAGCGUACCGGCGCCAGACUGACGCUGAGGCACGAAAGCGUGGGGAUCGAACAGGAUUAGAUACCCCCGUAC